RNAcentral lists this ribosomal RNA (433 nucleotides) under uncultured bacterium. RNAcentral describes it as "partial 16S ribosomal RNA". It matches the Rfam family "Bacterial small subunit ribosomal RNA", at positions 29 to 507 of the family's 1533-position model. The record is from RNAcentral.
AACGAACGCUGGCGGCAUGCCUAACACAUGCAAGUCGAACGAGACCUUCGGGUCUAGUGGCGCACGGGUGCGUAACGCGUGGGAACCUGCCCUUAGGUUCGGAAUAACUCCCCGAAAGGGGUGCUAAUACCGGAUAAUGUCUUCGGACCAAAGAUUUAUCGCCUUUGGAUGGGCCCGCGUGGGAUUAGCUAGUUGGUAGGGUAAACGCCUACCAAGGCGACGAUCCAUAGCUGGUCGGAGAGGAUGAUCAGCCACACUGGGACUGAGACACGGCCCAGACUCCUACGGGAGGCAGCAGUGGGGAAUAUUGGACAAUGGGCGAAGGCCUGAUCCAGCAAUGCCGGGUGAGUGAUGAAGGCGUUAGGGUUGUAAAGCUCUUUUACCCGGGAUGAUAAUGACAGUACCGGGAGAAUAAGCUCCGGCUAACUCCGUG